GCUCGGGGGUGUAAAGUAAAAGCUGUGAAAAUGUGAAAUCGCUCACUGCCGCCAUUUGUCCACCCCCCACAGAACUAGACCGCCUCCCAGCUAAACGGGCCAGUUAGAAUUUGAUGUAUUUGCUACGUAGAAACCGGGUAACCAAUGGGUGUCGUGUUCCAAAAUCGACUUAGACCCGCCCCCUUUUCUAACGUUCGCUUUGUGCUGCUGAGAAGAAUCGGAAGAUGCGGGAGUCAUGUCUUCCCAGAAAACUGGCCAUGAGAAAUGCAUCAUUCCAGGGUGGGAGUAUCAAAUACAUCACUGCACCGCCUUCCAAAAGAAAAAGAUGUCGCUGACAGUUCUACUGAAUCAGGGGCUAUAUGAUGUCGUAUCAAAACUACUGUUGAUGAAAGGAUCCAUUCCCACUAUUCAGGACCCUCUCCCAAGCAUUGAAACGGGAGCCAUUAGACCUGUUUCCCAGGCCAAUACCUCCC
Perca flavescens (yellow perch) is the source of this 473-nucleotide long non-coding RNA. RefSeq lists it as uncharacterized. NCBI's taxonomy places the organism in Eukaryota, Metazoa, Chordata, Actinopteri, Perciformes, Percidae. The record is from RefSeq and is a predicted model, not a curated record. The transcript is spliced from 3 exons.